UCGAGGAUCUUCCGCAAUGGGCGCAAGCCUGACGGAGCGACGCCGCGUGUGGGAUGAAGGCCUUCGGGUUGUAAACCACUGUCGCCGGUUAUGAAAGGGCCUGGUGUUAACAGCAUCAGGAACUGACAAAGGCCGGAAAGGAAGCCACGGCUAACUUCGUGCCAGCAGCCGCGGUAAGACGAAGGUGGCGAGCGUUGUUCGGAAUCACUGGGCAUAAAGCGCACGUAGGCGGCGGCGUAAGUCGGAUGUGAAAUCCCUCGGCCCAACCGAGGAACUGCGUCCGAUACUGCGUUGCUUGAGGACCAAAGGGGUGCAUGGAAUUCCCGGUGGAGCGGUGAAAUGCGUUGAUAUCGGGAGGAACGCCGGCGGCGAAAGCGGUGCACUGGUUGGUUUCUGACGCUGAGGUGCGAAAGCCAGGGGAGCAAACGGGAUUAGAUACCCCCGUAGUCC
This 450-nucleotide ribosomal RNA is filed under the name uncultured bacterium. RNAcentral's name for it is "bacterial SSU rRNA". It matches the Rfam family "Bacterial small subunit ribosomal RNA", at positions 355 to 796 of the family's 1533-position model. The record is from RNAcentral.